Molecule: long non-coding RNA, 411 nt
Organism: Carassius carassius (crucian carp)
Lineage: Eukaryota; Metazoa; Chordata; Actinopteri; Cypriniformes; Cyprinidae
Exons: 3
Source: RefSeq, a predicted model, not a curated record
UUUUAGGUUCAGACCCAGAAACGAUUGAUCAGUGGAUUGAUCUGGUCCAGGAGAAGAACAGUCUGCUCUCAGAGGAGUCCGAUCUCAUGGUGGCGUCUCGACAGCUGGAGCUGGAAGACAAACAGAGCAUGUUAGAGAUGGAGCUGCGGAGAUACAUGGAAAUGGAUGAUUCUGAGAAAAGCCCUGAGCAGCGAGAACAUGAGAGUCAGGUCCUGCAGGAGAUGCUGGACGUGGUGGACAUGAGGGAUUCACUGGUGGCCUUCCUGGAGGAGAAGAGGCUGAAGGAAGUGGAUGAUGAGUAGCUCCGUGCUGGAGGCCGCAGCAUCCCAGGUGCUCUGGGACUAAGACACCACAACACCGUAAUAGAGUAGUUCACCAUUUACUCAUCCUCAUGCCGUUAUAAACCUUCUA